GCUGUGCGGGCUCGGCCUCUUUUCCCUGAGAGUCGCGUUGCUUGAGCAUGCAGCGCUAAGCAGGUCGUAAACUCGAUCUAAGGCUAAAUAUGUCCACAGAACCGAUAGCGAACAAGUACCGUGAGGGAAAGUUGAAAAGCACUCUGGAGAGAGAGUCAAAAGACCGUGAAACCGCUCAGAGUAUAAGCCCAUGGCAGCUUGGAAGGCAUAUCGCUAGCGGGGCAUCGGUCUUCCUUCUCGGAGGGAGCGCUGGUGUUACCUUGCUACUGUUGUGGCUCGUCAAGGUAGGGGGGUCAAGUCCACAUCCCGCCGUCGUGUGGGAGGGUUCUUGGGCGCGUUGUGGUCUUUCGGUUGACUUCGGUCGGUCGUUGGGUUCUUCGUGCUUGGUUCCUUCUUUUUGCACGGACGUUCAGACUCAGAAGCAAGACGCGAUAACCAGCCCACCACGGCACGUUGUGAGGUCACCCACAGACUUAGCUUUCGAUUGUGAUCCUUGACGCCGAGCAAGCAGCCCAAUGCGUGUCGAGCUAAGUUCCUAACCAGGCUUCACCACGAAGCCAGGAGUGUGGAACGACACGCGCUCAACAGUCAGGAUCGGGCGGAUACAAAGUACUGGUACGAUCCUCUUGCGACGAGCCGGCUUCUGGCCAAAAUUCUGGCGGGCAGGCCUUCCGCAUGUGCCGCGGGAGGUCGAGUCAAGACGGUAUGGACAAUGCAAGUCCUCUCAGUCGAACGCUGGAAAGAGUGGUGUAAAGUCCAAGCCCAUCGGUCACGUCUCGAAACACGGGCCAAGGAGUAUAGCAUGUGUGCAAGUCUAAGGGUCUCACAAAAUCCGAAGGCAAAGUGAAAGCAAGUAAGCGGCGGGUGAUCUACGGAGAGAUCCCGUCAGCUAGAGGCUUCUUCCUCCGGGAAAUGUCUCCGGCUUUGGCAGAGUUGAUCCUGCAGCGGUACCGCAGACGUACGCUCAGGCGCAAACUCCAGGCUCACGUUUCGCACUGGUUUUCGAACUGUGCUGUGAGCACUGU
This 1025-nucleotide ribosomal RNA is filed under the name Adaugammarus pilosus. RNAcentral describes it as "LSU rRNA". It matches the Rfam family "Eukaryotic large subunit ribosomal RNA", at positions 233 to 797 of the family's 3401-position model. The record is from RNAcentral. Lineage: Eukaryota; Metazoa; Arthropoda; Malacostraca; Amphipoda; Typhlogammaridae.